CUGAAUGAUAAAAACCUGAUGAUAUUUAACGCACAAUUAUUUUAGAAAACGUUUAUCUGAAUGAAGAAUUGGAUGCAUUAAAAAUGAGGUUGAAUGUAUCAACUAUUUUGUCAUAUAUCUGUUUCGGACUUUUAUUAGAUGUAGAUACACAAAGUUCAGGGGAUGCUGAAAUAAAGGAUGCAGAUCACUUGACAAGCAUUCAGUUAGAAGUGGACACAUUGAAAAACAAUUUCCACCAACUUCUUUUGAAAGUUCAACAUGACGAAGAUGAAAUAGAUUUUCUGAAAAAACAAAAUCACGAUUUAAAACAAACGCUUAAUAACACUGUUACAAAGAUGGAGGCAUUACUUAAUGAAGAUGAAUACUUUACUCAAAACAUACAGGUUUUACAUAAUGUUACUUUACAACACCAACGUGAGUUAUAUCAGAUAAAAUCAAAGUUAACAGAAUCAGAGAUUACCGUGAGUUCGUCUUUGAUUUUUUUUAAUAAUUCAUUACAAGAACUAAUGAAUUCCACAUGCAAAGUUUCAAAUGAACAUGACUUGCUUAAUAGCAGAGAAGACAAGCAGAAGUUUGAAAAAGGGAUUAAAAACGAGACGGUUAAAACAGUUUGCAAAAUAGUAACUGAAUUAGAAUCACAGACAGAUCAGUUUCUGUCAAACCUAACAUUGCUGUCUUCUAAGAUAGAAAAGACUUUUUCAGUUGUGGAAGACCUGAAAGCUGAUGAAGCUGCAAUGGAGUCAUAUAUGAAGAAUGUGUCGUUCAACAAUAUAUUGAUAACAUCUAAAUUACAAAAAAUGACUGAGGAUGUAAUGGAAGCAACAACAAGAGUUACAAAACUAGAAUCAUCGACAGAUAAGUUGCUGUCAAAUCUAACAUUGAUGUCAUCUAAGAUAGACAAGACUUUGAAAAGUGUGGGAGAAAUAAAAUCAGAUGCGCUUUUGAAGUGCCGAUCAGAAAAGUUUACUUGUGCAAAACAGUUCCAGUGUAUACCUGCCUCAAUGAAAUGUGAUGGUUUUGCAGACUGUUCCGAUAAAACCGACGAAGAAGGGUGUGUAGAUGGAAAAUGGAGUGGUUGGAUAGAAAAACCCUGUAGCGUAACAUGUGGUGUGGGUAGCCGUUUACGUUAUCGCGAAUGUUCUUAUCCAUAUCCUCAACAUGACGGAAAAAGCUGUACAGGAAGUAGUACUGAGCAUGUCACAUGCAUGCAACAUAAACCCUGUCCAGUUCAUGGACAAUGGACUGUUUGGAGCGAAAACACCUGCAGUGUAACGUGUGGUGUUGGAACCGGUUUACGGUCUCGCAACUGUUCCAAUCCACAUCCUCAAUAUUAUGGAAACAACUGUACAGGAAACAGUAUUGAGCAUGUCACAUGUAUACAGCCUAACCAAUGUCCAGUUGAUGGUGAAUGGAGUGCUUGGAAGGAAACAAGCUGUAGCGUUACAUGUGGUAAUGGUACCAUUUUACAGUUUCGCGAAUGCUCUCAUCCUAAAUAUGGCGGUAAAAAAUGCCUAGGAGCAAAAACUAUGACUGUUACAUGCACACAAUCCAGGUGCUGUCCAGUUGCAACAUAUUUAAAUUUGAAAAGCAUUGGCUAAAAGACUCAUCAAAGACUCGAAAUUACUAAAGGGGCAUUCAAACUCAUCAAUCGAAAGCAAAUAAGCUGCGAAUGUCAUGGCAAAAAAAAAAUCGAAAAUACCACGAAAAGACCAACAACAGUACACCAAAAAUAAAGAGAGAACACUUGAGACUGAAAUACUAAGUUAUUGCAAGGAAACGACUUCCAUCUAGUAAAAUGCCAUUUUCCAAUCUAUCAACAAUCAUAAAUGCUGAAAGAGAAUAGCUUUGACUGCUAUGGAGGCUGGGAGAGAUUGGAAAAUUUUGGUGCAUGUUAUUGCUUCAGUAAGAAAUUGAUGUCAUGGUACGAUGCAAAGCUGCAAUGCAGACGACAGAACGGAUGGCUUGCAGAUAUUUAUUCUGAAAGUGAAGCCAAAUGGCUGGGUGAACAUACUCAUUUUAUUUCAGGAAGAAGUGUCUGGAUUGGUGGAAAAAGAAACAGUAAUGGAAUAUACGAAUGGGUUACUUCCUUUAUGGAGACACGACCCAUGACAUACUCGCGAUGGGCACCAGCAGAGCCACGUCCUCAAAGUCCUUUAAAAUGUGUUCAAUUAUGGGCAGAACAUAAUUACCAAUGGGAUGAUUAUGAUUGUUAUAAGGAACUUAAUUUCAUUUGCAAGAUACAUAUAUGACAAUGUGUUCGCUGUAAUGGUUGUUUCCUUCAUUGCAAAUUAAUGUGUUAAGCCAACGAUAUAUUUUUAGAAAUAGCAGUGUAUAGUUUGGACAAAUGUCUGUUAAAUCAAACUCUUUUUAUUGAAUACUUUGACACAAAAUCUAAUUAAAAGAAUUUGCAUUUUAAAUUCAUUUUAGAUAUACUUGAAAAUCUUUUACUUCAGUUGAAUAAAAUAUAAUAAGAAAGUAUUGAAAUACUGUACGAACAAUUUGUUUUUAGAGACAAAAUGUUAUAACAAUUAUUAUUGGAAAUGUAUGCAUUAUUAUUUGUGUUUGUUUCCUUAUGGUCGAAAAGAUAAUAGGAAAUAUCAUACUUUUGUGAAAUUUCAGUAUUUGAUUAAAAUCUAGUAACAACGUU
RNA transcript from Mytilus californianus (California mussel), 2647 nucleotides. RefSeq lists it as uncharacterized. Lineage: Eukaryota; Metazoa; Mollusca; Bivalvia; Mytilida; Mytilidae. The transcript is spliced from 12 exons. The record is from RefSeq and is a predicted model, not a curated record.